UCUGCUAGCUGCUGCCUGGGCGUUUGCUGAUGUAUUUAGUUUCUAGGCUCAGGCCUAGAAGGCCUUACUCAUCACAGCCCUUAAUGCUCCUCUCCUACCACAGAGCCUGGCACCUGGCUUGAUGAAUCGGUACUGGUAUUAAUCAUUGGAGGGGACCGGUUCCUUCUUUGUGCAUUUGUCUGAAAAAUUGCUCUCUUUGUGGAAGCUUUUAAUGGAUUUCUCAAGUCUUUCUCUACCGUGACACAUAAUGCCUGAAAUUCAAUGGCAGCAACAAAUGAAAGGGACAAAAAGUGAGGUGGAAGCAUAAUUACCGUGUAUCAAAAUAUAGUGCUCUGGUAACUGAAACUCACAGGUGAUGUAGCACCAGCUUAACUCUGCCAGGCGUUGGGGCUGACAGUCCCCUUCGUCACAGCCACCUGUGCUGCCGCCCUGCUCUCCCUCCCCUCAGCCUGAUUGCUUUGCAAUUAGUUGUUAGGAAAAAAAAAAGAAAAAGUAAUCACAAGAGAUUAAUUGCAUCUCCCUGAAAUGCCUGUCUCUGGAACUGACAGGGAGAACGGUCUUGGGGCUUCUGUCCACAGCAUCACUUAGCAGAGGAAACACAGAGAGUUUUUUGGCAAUGUCAGGGGAAGUUGCCAGCUCUCCUCUCAGGCUCGGAUGGCUAUAGGAGCACUGAGCGCUUCGCUAUUUCCAUUACAAUGGGGCACAAAUCAUCUGAUUUUCACAAGCAACAAUGAGAAACCAUUUCUGGCCUGCAAGGGAUGCUGUACUGCAUAUGGACUGUGAAAAAGCAGGAGCAGAGCUGGGAGCAAUAGAGAGGAGAAACGAUGCAGAGCAUUGGCCGGAGUGGCACUCCUGCCUUGUGGGGAGAAGGCUGGAAAGGGAUCUUACUGACCCUGUCUUAGGCCUUCUCCCUUCUGGCUUUUAUACCUGGGAUUCCACUGAAACUGAUGUGCCUUCAUGAUCACAGAUCUGCCCCUCCAUUCAGCACACCUGCUUUGGUCCAGGCAAACAGUUGAGGCUCUCUCUGACCUCUCUUCUGAAUGACAGAUUGUCACCAAGCUCAGUUUUGCAGGAACAUCCAAUACGCUCUAUACCUUCAUUUCACACCUUACAAGUGCUUCUGUUUUGUGUACGUGGAGUAGUAUCCAGCAUAUUCUCAGCUAUAAUCAAACAAUUAUUGUUAACAACAACCGAUGCAUGAAAAUCAUGUGUCUGACUGAAAUCUCCCAGUGAUUUGGGGAGAAUCUUUACACAGACAUUUAGCAACCAUGCUGUGGAAGUUAUGGAAACACAACCACCACAUCAGUGCAGUUCCAUACUUUAUAAGAUGAAAUUCUCAUUCUGGGGUACGUGCCAUAAUUUUUAAUAAAAACUGUUCUAAAAUAGAGCAGCUGCCAAGCAAAGCAUUACCAGGGCUGCCAGAAGGCCUCCUGAGGUGCCAGCCCAGCAGAAAACCAGGCAGGGUUUAAAUGUGGUAAGGAAGGUUGUUUCAGAGACCUGGUGGAUUUGCACAGGAAUUCCAGCAAAUGGGGGAGUUUCUUUUUCACUGAUUUUGCAAAUUUUUGAUGAGGAAAAAAAAAAUCCAUCUGAAAAUUUCCAGCCUGCACUACUACACUUUACACAGCAACUAAGAUCAGCUUCUCCUCUGGAUGGUUUGAGGUAGAAAAGGAAAAGCACGUUUUCCAUACAAAACUGUACAGUUCACAGAGCCAGAUGAUAGUGAUGGACCUGGUCUGGGAACAGAAAUAACAAUCAUACACAUGGAAAUUAUGGGUUUUCCCCCAGCAGUCUGUUUUCUACUCAAAUGCAGUCCCAGUCAUUCCUGAUACAAGUAAAAAUAUCCUAUAGCAGCCUCUUGUACUUAAAGAUAUCCAGCCAAAAAAAAAAAACAGACUACCACAGCUCAGAAGAUAUAGAGGCAUUUUAAAAAUGUGUAGCAAGUGCACUCUAAAGUGCUUAAAUCCUGCAGCCUUUGUUCAUGCCAAGCUCUCAAGUAGUGGCAACUGGACAUCAAACUGAUGACAGAAAAGUCUUUGCUGCUUGUAUUAAAUGCAAGCUCUCUUCUUGAGAGCAUCAAGCAGUGUUGGUGGCAACAAACCCUGGCAUCAAUUUCUGCGAUACUGGUGGCCUCUCUGCCCCGUGUGCUGGCUCUUUUAUCUCACCCAAAGCACCACUGAAGCAGUGCUGUUAAAUGACUGACUGAGUCCAAAACAUAUAUGUGAUAAGCUGCCGGGGCUCUGCUCUAUCUUGACGGUUUAUGCUACACAACAUGAUUAUUUCCCCCCUCUGCAUCUGGAAAGGAAGAUCAAUGUUGUAGAGAAUUUUAAAUUGGCUCGCACUGUGGAGUUGGUUUCAUUACCUAUAUAUUAAUUGUCGAGGUACAUAGUAAUUCUCUGCCUUACAUUACUGGAAUUUUUUGCAACUUUUCUAGGAACUAAGUAUUGAUCCCUGGAAAAUGAACAACAAUUAAAGUAAAAUAUAGACAACUGCAAUCCCAGUGGUCCCAUUAAAGGAUGAAAUGCUUCAUUAACACCUCAUAAGAACAUUCAGAACAUGAGAGGAGGGCAACUUUCUUCUUCAUCACUGGUGAAUGGUUUCCAGAAAGGAAUGGCCUUUAAACUUCCUAAGAUUAGUCUACGCACAAAUUUCCUACAGUAACUAAGCCAGUUAUAAGUUGAAGUGCUCUUUCCAAUCACGUCAAGUUGCUUUUGCUACUUUAAAAUUGUGUUUUCGUAUUCCAGCAUAAAUCAGUUACCUGGUGAUUUAAUCUUAAGUUAAGUAAGGGAAAAUGUAAACCAUCACAGAGUCCAUAAUUAGUUUGAUAAAAUUAGGUCAUGCUAUAAAUUAAAUCAAGACAAUAUGCAUAUGCCCUUAAACUUCUUGACUGUGCCAAACCCAUAGCACAUUGUUGGAGAGGAGCUUCCUCAAAAUUUCAGCUUUGACGUUUUGACUGGGAAAAAAACUUCAUGUUGGCAGAGGUAGAAAGUCUGAAUGACAUUUGAACGUUGCAGAAACACAGAGUCUCUAUCCACGACUAUAUAGUUUUUUUUAAUAUUUAUUUAGUGUUUAAGAAAUAAUACGAAGAAAAGCUGAGCAAUAUGCUGAGCUCCUGCUGAUUUCCACAGGGCAAUGGUACCUCUGAAAAUUGAGUUUCUGUGAGUUAUGUAAGUCAUAGCUUGUACUCAGUACCUACACAGGAGGAAAUGAUAGGUAAUUUAAUUGUCUUUUUGGUGAUGGUGCUGUUUUUUUUAAAUAUUCUUUUUAUCAGUGUUGAUCUCCUGGUGUUUGAGAUACAGAGGUGUUAGGCCACUUGAAGUGACAGAUAGAGUGUUUUUGGCUAGAAUCUGGACUUUUGAGUUCUGCCAGGCUAUAAAUAAACAUAGACUGAUUUACAUAUUUAUUAAAUUCAUAUUUGCUAGGUUGCAAGCAUUUCAGGUCUCUCACAUACUGUGGUCAAAAUGCCAGCAAGGUCAUUCUAAGAAAUACAGAAAUUCACAAAAAUGUUUCCCAGUGACAGAAACAUAUCACUUCAGAAGCAAGGUAAAAAGGGAGUGAAAGCAAUGCUUGGGGCCUGUUGCGAGUAGAGCUGGGGAGGACUUGUACGAAUUUUGUGGAUGUGUUACAUCAUAAAUAGACAAGAUAUUGAUGGAUACUGCUCCAUUGCUGCCACUGGAUCCACGUGGCAUAGAUUAGCUCAUGGAAUAGCAGAUCAGACCGUACUGAAGAGCAUGCCUGCUGCCUUAAGGAAACCUUAAGAAAGUUAUGGUGGAGAAGGAAAGAAAGAAAAGCAUGCACAACUAAACAUACACAGCUGUCAUUGCAAAUGUGCCCCUUCCAGGCGUCCUUGAGAAAGCAAAUCUAUCCGAACCGUUCUUGGAGGCAUCUAUAUAUCAGUUGCACCAAACUUUCAGUGGUAGAUCUUAAGCAGGAACUCAACGUCCUAUUUCCAAAUACACCAAAGGACUAAGAGGCAUCUCACGGCUUUUCCCAAGGCCUUGUAUCUCUCCUGACAUGGAAUUAAGUGUUCCAGUACUAGAGCCUAUUUGCAUUUUAGCUGCCUUCAGUGCAAUGCAGGAUUUUGGGGAUGGUAAAACACAUCCAUGCUGUUGUUGCAGCUAGGGCUUACGCUCACAUUUGAGCAGGUUUCCACUGUCUCCUUAGUGCCUGCUGCCUGGCUCAAGGCUGGGGCAAACCAACUGGCUGCUAAGUGAAGACAUUUGGGUAUCAUAGGCAGAGAAAAAGCCUGGCUUACCCUUGGCAGCACAGCUGCGAGCAGAUUUUGCCACUCAGCACAGCAAACUCAAGAGCACGCUGGCGUGUUUAACAAGGACAAUAUAAACAGUGCCAGCAUGAGUUAUGUUGGGAAGGAGUGAUGCAACUUUUUGUUGCUACUUUUCUUUCACACCUUCAAGCCUUUUGACCAAGCUGCGCCACAAAAAUGUGAGAAACAUGUCAUUCACCGGAGGGGUGAGGAAAUACUGCUAUUCUGAGCAGGAAAGAAUAAAGUCAGUCACUGAGCCAGUAUGUAGAUCACCACAGAGUUUUCAUAUUGUCAUCAAGUACGGGUGCCAGAACCUGAUGUCUUUGACACCACAUCAGCAGCCCAAUUAGCAACAUGAAGUCAUCUCAGCACUGAGAUUAUUUGUCACUCUCUAAAAGACUGAUACUCGGCAUCUGGUUUAGCAGGUUAUGAGGCAUCAUGAAAAUGCUCUGAUAAAUGAGCAAAUUCAUUUCAUCCAUCAGAGCCUGCAAAUGACCCUGCUGUGAUCCUGACAGUGCUGGGAUUCCUAGGGACAUUGCAGCGAGGCAGAGUUUGGCCAUUUAUCCUCUGAGGGCAUCCAGCAUACUGCCACCUCAACCUUCACAUCAAGAAAAAGUAUUCCUGAUUUCUUUUCAACUCACACCUCUACAAAGACUCUGAAGUCAAAGGAUCAACGGGCACGAGGAAAUAGAAGAGUAGGUAGAAAGUUUGACCUAAAUGUGUUGUGAUAGAACUACCAAACUGAAAAACAACAUAUUCCUACUGUGGGACAUAAAUCAGUCAUUCACUAGUACACCAUUAACUACAGGGCACUUUUAAACACCGACCCCUGCAGAAGCAAAUGCCCGGUCAGUACCAGCUCUGAUGUGACUCUGUUUCUCAGGGACACAGGGACUGAAGCAUGGUUUAGUAUCUGGUGCCAAAGAGACCUACAAUAACACACAAAGCAUUGAAGCACCGUACAACAGUUAUAAAAAGAUAAUUCACUCUGCUUAGCAGCUGCAACAGAGCAAUAAGGUCAUGCCAGCAAGCACCAGUUCACCCUAAUUGGAUAAUCUUUUUCUUUGGAAAACUAAAGCACUCACGGUAGUUUCCCAUUUUUGUGUGCAGAUGAUUUUACAACACUGCAGUGUACAAAAAAGGCUCCAUCCUUACUGUCACUGCUGGUUUUGUGCCCAGUGAUGUUCAGGUGAGCUUUGAUGCAGCAAGGACCUCAGAAUUUUGCCUCAAUCGCCCUGCUAAGAACUGCAUGGGAUGAGAGUAGAGACCUGUCUAAUCCAGUAUCCCUUCCCUGGCCAAAAUCAAGAUAUGCUGUACUCCACCCUGAUAGCCUUCCUGAAGCAGAAUCAUUUUCAUUGCACUUGCACAUCAACAGACUUAGAUUCUGGAGAAAUAACAGGGAAUAUCUAUUAAAAGCUGAGGGCUUUCCAGUAAUAACUCCCAUAAACCUAUCACACCCAUUGAAAUCAACUAGGCAUGCCAUUUAUUUGGUGUUUUGAUAAAUUAUAGCUCUGGGGUGCACCGAGGUCCAGAUUUUUAAAGCUAUUCAGCUGUUUAACUCUCAUUGAUUUCAGCAUAAUUGAUUUCAGUGGGAGUAAGGUGCCUGUAUUGCUCCACACUCUGGGCCAGUCCCUUCUAUGGUAACUGCACCAAUUAGGCAGGAGAGCUAUUUAUCAGGGGCCCCAUUAAAUAGACUCAGUGGUGCCCAAUUACAUCUAAAUUACCAGCUCAGCUACCCCGAUGGCUGAGCAGGUGGCGUGGCUGUUGCCAUCACACUGGCACCACAAUUGACGCGGAGAAUCUCUUCCAUUGUAUCCCACUUACAGGAAGGCUCAUCCAGGAACAACACCCAGCUUCCUCAAUCAGCCCGUGAUGGUUUUCACCCUCCCACCAGGUCAUUCUGACAUUGCAACCGACUAAUGGUGUAAUGGAUACCAGGAAGAAAAGCAUGCUGAAUCCAAAUCUAAAUGAGUGGGGCUUACAUAAUUAGAGGGUGAGAGAAAGAGAAACUAGAAUCAGAGACAAAGUCUUUUCAAGGUUUCCAAGGCAGCAAGUGGCUGCUUCUCACACAGCAUGCACCACAAUUGUGUUUUCAAUUCUACAGCAUCAGUUUUCUCUGUGAUGAGGAGAAAAAAACCCACUCUUUUGAAAUGCGAGUCAUUUGUAAUGUUACGUGCAGAGGAUUCUGGUGUUGUGAUCUUUCACUUUUGCCCUGCAUUUAAUACUGAAGAUCAUUCAGCCAUGGUGAAACCAGAUGGAGGAAAUUCUCUCCUGCAAGACAUGAAGGCCAACGACGGAUGAUGCCAGCUGCACUACACAGUACUGCUGCUCUCUCACUCUUGAAAGAAAGCUUUUUCCAGGUGCCAAAUCCAAUCAGAACAAUGUAGGUAGCUCAGCUGAUGACAGGGAACCAGAUCCAAUGUGCUGCGAGGAGCAAAAUGCACCGGCAGCUUCAGGAAUCUGCACCCCCAGGAGAUGGACCACCUGGCCUGCCCACACCACCAGGUUUCCUAAGACAUCCUUCCUAGCUCCAGUAAACUUCAGUACCCCCAGGAGGGUCUGAAAAAGGACUCUGAUUAAGGACCACUUUUAGGGGGUUUCCCUCAGCUGGUUUCCACCAAGAGCGGAGAAAAUAUUCGAAGUGGCUCACUUCUGUUAAAAAUACUCGAGUUAUAACUAGGAAAUGUACAAGAGUAAAGUUACAGCAGAAACAAUAAAGACAACACUCUCCUGAGCCAUAAAUAUCCCUGGAUAGUUCUUCCUGAGACCAAACUCCUGGUGCAUUUAAUGAACACUUGGCGCAAAACGAGAAUGACGUCAGGGCCAGGAGACCUCUGAGCAAGACUUCAGACCAGGUCUAUACUCCAGCCAAAGCCCGUUGGUCUUGGACUGCGUGCUGUGCAUCGUGCUCUGGCAGUUUUUCAAGCAUCUGCAGAGAAAGCUUAUGGGGCCAAGUUUUAAGAAUGCGUCUGGACUUACAGCUUCAGUAUUGGAUUUGCUUUUGUGAAGAAGAGGCUGCCUUUAAGGCUGACCUGAAAAUACAUAUUCAAGGAGCAUACUUGCUAAACGCUUCAGUUUUUCUCUUUGUUUCCAAGACCAGAAGGCUGCACAUAAAACACACUCCAGUAUUCAUGACUAAAACUUCAGUUCUUUUUUAAAUGGUGAUACUUCUGAACUCAAGAUCAACCUGUUGUAAACAGAAAUAAGAUCAAUCUGAACUCCCAUUUGUUUGCUUGACUAAGGCAACUUUGAAAGCAAAAUAAAAUGUAGAAGAAGAAAAUCGAGCUGCCUUCGAAGACCAAAUAGAGAAUGAUACAACUGAAAAAUAGUUAUGGAGACAGAGAUCAACCUGCCCUCUAUAAACAUCUAUGGUUAAAUCAGAUUCAAUAAGAUGUAACACGGUAUAGUGGUGGCAGAGGUUAUUGAAAUCACCAUUGAUGGAUUUGCCGUGUGUUUUGGUGCUGAACACAUUACAAACGUGGUUAAAGGAUCUCGUUAGGAAAAGCAGUUACUGUCAGGAUUUAUGCACAAUAUAUUUCACUUACAAGCCUUUUGUCUUGGAAGGAUAUGACACAACAGAGAGAGUUGGGAAGGGAGAACAGGGGGCAUAAGGGCUUUUACUCCACACGACUUGCAUUUGGAUCAUUAAAAAUGCAUCUAGCUAUACCUGGAAUAUUUCUCUUGUGAGGGAUAGAAAUACAAUCCCCCUCAACCAGCUACAACAGUUUUGUUGGAGAGUUUUUCACAGGCAGAAGCAACCCAAAUCUUCCCCAGUACAGCCAGGCAGAGCAGGUCCUUCCCGGCAGGAAUACCUGGAUAAACUCAAAGACAGGCUUGCAGGAGUAAGUUGCCAUUGCUACAGAGUUUCAGGGGUGAUUUUUAAGGUAACUUCUAGGGUAAAAACAUGAAAAUAAGGCACUCCAGACUCUCAGCCACCUGAAUAUAGCCGACGGUGGAUGCUCAUCUUUAACAUUUCUCACCAGAGUGGGUAUUGAUUUCAUUUCUCACUCUAGACUAGUCACUUGACCAAGCUGCACUCCAGUGUUUAACAUGUUGGUCAUGCUGGCAGGUGGGGAUUUGUGGUCUGUAGUCUAUCUUAUGGUGACCUUUAUGACUGGCACAGUCUUAAUCGUAAUAGAAAAGACUGAUGUAAAGGCAUUCACGUUGUUAUUUUUAGCAGUAGGGAAUGGAAUAGUUGAAAGAGUAGUAAGGUUUGAGUAGAGUGGCACUUAUUGUCCCCUGUGGACAAAUGCAGUGAUUUCUUGUACAGUUUAAUUUUUUAUUUUAUUUUUUUUUAAGGACAAGGACAAAAAGUUGGCUGGGUAGACAGCUGAGAGGUGGUAAGUGCUCUGUUAUAGGAGGAGUGCUCAGAAUAAAUGCAUCAAGGCUGAAAUUCCUCGCAUUAAGUGCCCAUAUUUUCCCAGCAUCCUUCUUCCUCUCCAGCAAAACUGGGCAGAGUUUGUACCUCAAAACUAAAGGAGCGACUUCAGAUGCUCUGCAAGCAUCAGGCACUAUCUUGCCCUCAGGCUCAUCUUAGGCAUGCUUCCAGGCUCAGGGACUUCUUAAUCUCAGCAGUGCUCAUGCCACCUCCACCUUGAAGCCUGUCCUUGUGCAG
Molecule: non-coding RNA, 8876 nt
Organism: Anas platyrhynchos (mallard)
Lineage: Eukaryota; Metazoa; Chordata; Aves; Anseriformes; Anatidae
Source: RefSeq, a predicted model, not a curated record